AAUAAGGUGGGUCUCUCCUUUGUCGACUCCUGACUUGGCACUACUUACUCAUUCCUUUGGCUCUACUGAGAAAUCAAAAUGUUCCUCCUAAAUCUUUCCCCUAAAAAUAGUUUCUGUGUCAUCAAGCAAUUACAUUUGCAUUUUCUUAACCUUUCAUUAUUUGUCAGUCUUGUCACAAUUAAGGAAGGCAGUGGAAGACCUGUUAUCAUUUGACCAUUUAGUAAUACAGAAGAACACAAUGAGAUUAGUGAUAAAUCCUAUCGAGGAAAUGUUCUGGUUGAAGCAACCCAAUGAAAGACUGGAGGUUCUUCCUAUGUAGCAGCAAACUCUUAUUGCUCUUUAGGAACUCUAGAAGUGAAAAACUCCAAAUUUCUCCAGAAGAAAGAAGAAUAUAACUGUAAUUUAAAGAAAAGUACCUCCUCUUCCUCCUCUCCUUAUUUUUCUUCUCCUUCUUCUUUUGUCCUGAUCUUUCUUCUUCCUGUUCUUCUCGUUCUUCUUGUUCUUCUUGUUCUUGUACUUGGUCUUCUCCUCAAUUCUUCUUCUUCUUUUCUUCUUUGUGAUUCUGAUGGCAUUGAGCACAGCCCAGUAAAAGACAAAUGAACAAGCUUGGAGUGUGUCUGAGUUUCCUGCAGCAUCAGGAGAGGGAGAGAGAGACACCAUGAUUCCUACCAAGAUGCUACUGCUCUUGCCGUCAAUGGCUUUGCUGGCCUUGGGGUCUGCUCAGGGCAUCGAUGACGGUAAAUUGGGGAGAUAGAAGAUCAUGCAAGCAUGCGGGAGUGUGUCUGAGUUUCCUGCAACAUCAGGAGAGGGAGAGACAGACAUCAUGAUUCCUACCAAGAUGCUACUGCUCUUGCUGUCAAUGGCUUUGCUGGCCUUGGGCUCUGCUCAGGGCAUCGAUGAAGGUAAGUUGGGGAGAUAGAAGAUCAUGCAAGCACACGGGUAACAUUCUUGGAGAAGAUUAAGGUUGAAUUGACCUUUCUAACAAUUCAAGUGCUUGAUAUUCCAAGAAUAGGUUCAUCAAAGUGGAGAAAACAUUAGUUUCUAUUUUCCACUGAUUGCAAGUAUCUCUCUGAAGUCCUAGGCCUAAGUGUCAAGUCAAUAUCUUCAUGAUGUGACCUUUGCUGUUUUUGGAAGUUUGGACUUCCACUUAUUCACUCUUUGUGUGAAAAAAAAUAAUCUAAAUUGAUUGAAUGUUCUAAAAUUCACCUAGAUAGAUCAAUUCCUUUAUUUUUGAACAUUGGCCAUAUACAAAUAUUAAAAAUUUGUGUUAAAUUUUCUUUAUCCCUCAUAAUAUUGAUAGUUAGUAGGUCCUAUUCAUUUUCUCCAUUGUAUGAUUUUUUUUGAAUACUUCUAUGUCUGCUUAGGGAACCAUGUGGCAGGCAUGCAUUUAUAGGAAAUCUCAAAAGUCCUAGAAAUGGGUACUUUCAGGCAAUGCUGGGAGAAUGUGUACACAAUAAAAGAGAAAGUUUAAUUCUUUAUGGAUCAUGGCUCUUUUAAUCAGAAAAGAUGGAUAGCAUAUCUUAGGGGUACCAAAUAUUCAGAUAUAAAGUCAAAAUCCAGAUAAGUAUUUCAAUGGCUGCCAACAACCAGAUAUUGGCCUCUUCUAAAACAAAGAAUGACAAAUUGAAAAAAAAUGAUAUUCUCUAAUUAAAUGUAUUGUCAUUGUAUAGAGACAGUCUAAUUCAAAAACUUGGAAUCUAAAGACAUGAAAUGCUCAUGGAUUAUUUGAGUUUAAAUCUGUUGCCAUCUGCUGAGACAAAGUUGCUGCUCAAAAUUCUAAAAAGGUAGUUGCUGACUUUUCUGAAAGGCAUAGACACUUUACAAAGGAUCUAUAAGUGGUUAUUUUUAUAACCUUAUUUUGAGUUUAUCUCUCUCUGUUUUGUGGUAGUUUGGAUAUUAGGUGGGAAAUAACAGUAAAAUUCUGAGAAGAGAGUUGUUUUCCUUUUUAAAUAGUCUGUACGGGGAAUUUAAUUUAUGCCUUAUCUUGUAUGUAUUUUAUGUCAUUCAUUAUUCACUGCAACAUUUUGAAGUACAUAUUUUUAUUCACAGUUGACACUUGAACCCUAGCUUUGGAGUCUAAAUAUUCUGCAGAACAUUCAUGAUUAGAGAGUGAGAAAGCUGAGUUAUAGACUCAACCUUGUCAGCUUUCAAGCCCAUGAUUUCUGUAUCUAAUCCUGUGAACUCUGUUUUAGCUUUUACUCCAUCAGAAAUGACUGAAUUGUCUGCAGUAUGCCAACUAUUUUCAAGUUAAUAUCCCUAUUCAACACAUAUAUUUCUUUGCCCCCCAUCUCUUCUUGUUCCCAUAUUGGUUUGCUUCUUAACCUCUAUCCCGAACUCACCUACUUCCAAUGGCAGCAUUACACUCAAUAAACUGCAGUGCUAUGUUCCUCUGAGUAUUGCAUAAAGAUUUCUCAAACUCUUGAGUAACUUAACUAGUAAAAUAGAGCUUAAGAGAAUUCUAAAGGGAAGAUGCUCAGAAUAUACCACCAAAAUUUUGUCAUUAAGGCUAACAUGAGUUUAUUCUACCUUUGGUAAGGGAGAGAGUCUCUGGGGAAAAAAGGUAAGUUGGGAUCUUUACAGAUAAGGUUUUAGGGUCUACUUUAAGGAGAGCUUUUUUCGGGAUGAGUAAGGUCCAUGAUUUAAGAGUUUAGGGGCCAAAUGAGCUGAGGUGAUGGCAAGAGUCUUGGAGAAGAAACAGUUGAUACCAUUAACAAGCUGAACAGAUUAAUGUUUGUUUAAAUGAUUUUGAGGCAAUUCAGAAGUAAAUGAUAAGUAUCGGAAUCAUUUCUCUUUCUGGGCAAGAAUUUUCUGGAAUAAUGAAAUCAUGUUAGUGUAGCCAGGAAGCUACAUGUUGUAGUCAGUUUCCCUUCUCAAAUUUUCUCUGUUGCAAGAGGUCACAUAACCUCAGCGACAUCUUACAAGGAUUGCAGCUCUUCAUUAUGCAUCCUGUGUAAUGGGUAAAACUUAGAUGACUCUGUCAUUUCUGUUUCAGAACCAAUGAUCUGUACUAGUUUUCUAGUUUGGGAAAUGUUGUUCCAUUGUAUCCAAACAUUAUUAUUUUGGGUUCUCUUAGGCAUUUUCUUAACUCCUUCCAUCUCAAGUUACUUGUCUUUUAAAAUGUAGAGGUGGAGUUUUAUCAAAGUAUAUUAAAACUUAUUGAUUUCUUUUUUUUUUAACCCAAGUUCUAAAAGACCCAGAUAAAAAUCUUGUUGAAGGACACAAUCCUUUCUGUUUCUCUUUAGAACAUAUCAUAUGUUAUAUUUAUGCUUAGUGUUUUGUCUCUUGAGAGUGCUCAAAACUGAAUCUAGGAAAGGAAUAACAAGCCUUUAGGUUCCAGGGGCUUCAGUCAUAUUGUAAGAUAGGGCUUCAUCCUUCCUUUUCCCUUGGGAAUCUCUUGUGUCAAAAACCUAAACAGUACCUGAAAGUCAGCAGAAUACGACACCCCCAAUCACCUGUACGGGUUUUUUUCUACAUCCUUCUACAAACAAUGACUAAUGAUUGAAUAACACAAAUGCCUUAUUUUUGUAGGGAAAUUAUCUGUACUAACAUUUAACUAAUUUGAAUCAGAAAGAUACUGUGUAAUUUCACCCAAGUGCUGUAGCUGUUUAAUUAGUAACCUUACCCUUCC
RNAcentral lists this long non-coding RNA (3628 nucleotides) under Canis lupus familiaris (dog). Its description in RNAcentral is "lncRNA (ENSCAFG00040024580.1)". The record is from RNAcentral. Lineage: Eukaryota; Metazoa; Chordata; Mammalia; Carnivora; Canidae.